GGGGUAUUAGCUCAGUUGGUUUAGAGCGCUGCCUUGACAGGGCAGAGGUCACUGGUUCGACUCCAGUAUAUCCCA
This 75-nucleotide transfer RNA is filed under the name Flavobacteriaceae bacterium. RNAcentral's name for it is "tRNA-Val". It matches the Rfam family "tRNA". From Rfam's summary of the family: Transfer RNA (tRNA) molecules are approximately 80 nucleotides in length. Their secondary structure includes four short double-helical elements and three loops (D, anti-codon, and T loops). Lineage: Bacteria; Pseudomonadati; Bacteroidota; Flavobacteriia; Flavobacteriales; Flavobacteriaceae. The record is from RNAcentral. RNAcentral also lists the same sequence under 1 other name.